RNA transcript from Amphibalanus amphitrite, 6525 nucleotides. RefSeq lists it as uncharacterized. The record is from RefSeq and is a predicted model, not a curated record. NCBI's taxonomy places the organism in Eukaryota, Metazoa, Arthropoda, Thecostraca, Balanomorpha, Balanidae. The transcript is spliced from 11 exons.
AGUAAGCAAAAUGAGGUUAACAUUUUUUUGGUGGUAAGCUGAAACAAAACAGCCACGACACGGCACAGCCAAACAGCCAAGUAAAGUGUCAGCGAAACGUUUGACUUCAUGAUAACAUUACAUCAAAUUACUUGUUUGUGGUCAAAAAGUGUGCUUCCGUGCAAUGUCAGAUUUGACGGUAAAAAAUAUUGUCAAGCCUGAAGAGCUGGAAACAGCCGAAACCGCAGAAAACAGUGUUCCAGGUAAAGCGAACAGCAGACGUUUAUGCAACUACAUUCUCAAGAAGACGCCACGUUCUAUGGCAAUCAUGGCUUGCUUCGUGGGCUGCUGUUACUUCCUGGUGGUGUCAGCGAACCGACUCAAUGCUGGUGUCAUAUUACAGGAAUUCAAGGCAACCAGCUCAGUGGACAACGAAAACUUGCAAAUAACAGUCUGUCCAGUUGGUCCAUUUGACCCUAUACACUUAAUGGACUACAAGAUUCACACAAAAAGGGCCAAUAACUUAAGAGCAUUGUCGAAGCAGUACAACAUAAAUCAAUUUGCAAAAACAUUUCACACAGCGAUGGACUGUUUGCAUGACAACAAGUACGCGCACAGAGACGACACUAUCGCGAAAAAGGCACACCUCCUGCAAAGGUACCCGGAGUGCAUCAGCUUUGCAGAAGAUGUCAUCUCUACCGACUUUCCUUAUGAUCUGCUAGAAAUAUAUACCUGGCUUAGAAACAUCGACCUAUUAUACACUCUUGGUCUUACUGCAGAAGGUGGUGUGGAUUCUUACGAUGGAAUUUACAGAAAUAUUGAUAUUUUAAUACAAGACAAUUCAACACUUGCACAAUAUCUGACAGAAACAUCCCGAGAUAUUGAAGAAUUUCUUGUAAAUGACUUUACUUCUGUCGACAACGUUAAUCUGAAUAAGCCUGCCCAGAAAAUCUUAGUCAACAAUGCACUAAGAACACGUUUUGGAAUGAAAUGUAUCAGCUACACCAUGGCAAACAGCGAAGAUGGAAAGAAACUGAACCAACGGUUCCAACUUCAGAUGACUUUUAACAGACUGGAAUGGGCCUAUCUGCUGGUGUCCGUGCACGUCAACCGUACAUUCAGCGACAUUCCCGGCGCAACAUUAAUUCAGCCAUACCGAAUUCCACUGGACACUACCAGCGUACUCCACAUUCGAAGAAUCGAAAAAACAAUUAAGAAUGACCAGUUGGAAGACUGCAAGAACUAUGAUAGGAGUACCUCACCUGGCUCUCACGUAGAAUGCAUGGAGGCAUGCAUUCUUAAGAAGGUGGUGACCAGUCAAAACCUUACUUGUCUGAUACCAUGGAUGGACCGGAACUCUACACGUGGUUUGAUCAAUAAACCAUUCUGCAACACAUCUGAAGACUUUUUCAGAAGCCGUAAUGUGGCGUGGAGAGUUUUUCAAGGGAACAUCAGUGAUUGCAAUGACCUGUGUACACCAAGCUGCGAGCAGCUGAAUAUCCUGGUCAAAAUAAUGGGUAAUAUCAAGCCAGCCGUCUUCGGCAACGAACAACGUCAUAGCUUGAUCUUUAUCGUGUCCAAUGAAAUGGAUGAAUUCAGAAACAGACCAGCAUACGGCUGGGGUGACUUCGUCUCAGAGGUGUUUGGGUCACUCAGUUUUGUCCUCGGUAUUGCCUUUGUAGCCCUGAUUGACUGGGUAUUUGCAGCAUUGCUAUGGCUCUGUGGGAAACUCCCCUACAUCCCAGCAAUGCCGCCUAUCCUAAACUCGGACAUUUACAUCCGUGACAUCUACUAUAAAGUCAGACACGAGCUGUAUGGUGAACCGAUCCCAAUGACCAUAUCACAGACGUACUUGAAAAAGCAUGAGCGUAGGAGGGAUGCGGUCAAGGCCGCUGCUCAAUCUACAGCAGAGAAAAAGGACAGUGACCACCGGCGACCUCAGUUCCCACGCAUGCAUCUAAGAAAGUCUAGUCUGGCUUUAAUGUCAGAAGCAUUUGCCGCAGUGUCGCAACAACACGAAGAAGAAAUAUUGAUGCAGCAGUUUAAGAGCUUGUCCGAUAUUAUUCGACGGGGAAGCACCGUAGCAGAUAGGAGUUUGCAGAGGCGUCGCUCGUCCUUCCCUGGAGACCGUGUGUCUCAACAAACCAGCGCAUCAAUGCGCCAACCAUCAGGAGCGACCGCAUCAAGUUCUCAUGGCAUGCCAACGAUGUGGUCAGAGCCAAAAAUAACGAUAAGCGCACCUGACGAAGAUGAUGUUCGACAAAGGUCACAAACGUCGUCACCUGAGAGCCCAGCAGAUGACGUCGAGCAAGGAAGACAAUCGGCAGAUCAAGGCGCCCCGGGACAAGAGGCCAUCGACACUGGUCAACCGCCGCUGACGCCGGCUAAGAGCGGGCUGCCGGGCAUAGACCAGCAGCGUCGGCCGUCGCGGGCCGCCUCUGUAAUGCGAGACCUGGACGCCGCCGAGGCGAGCCCUUCAACAGCCGAAGGAGCGGCUGCACCGCAGCCCCCGGCCCAGGGACAGAGACGUGCCUCCUUAUAUCGCACUAAACCGCGGCGAAAAUCGCACGCGGUCGCGCCGGCUCCGGUCCCAUCGAUCGCAGAAUCGAGCGAAGGCGAAGAACCGCCGGACUAAGCUUUAGUGUACCUGUUCGGUUAUCUAGGUUUUUACAUUGUGUUGCCUGUGUUGUCGUGACGACUGGAAAACCAUGACCGAGCCGAGUCAUUUGGGUGUCCAUUCUUCGUGCCCUGCCAGUGACUUGAAGCAUUGACCGUUUUGUCUUUUACUGAACCUUGAUGUCAUAUGCUACUUAUGUCCAGCAGACACGGAAGCCGAUGCGCUCGCUUAUGUCACAUGGUUACAAGUGCAGACGGAAUGUGUUAUGUUGUGUGCUACUCAGAAGCAAACCACUUGACUUUGCUGGGGCUUUACAGACGGAUGUGAUUCAGUGAAGCUGUUAGGUAUCGCGGAGCGCAUUUGAUGUAACUGGUUGUAUUACCAGCACCAAGCUCAUCAUCAUACAUUAUAUCAGCAUGCAUACACUUGCAGGGAUCUAGUGUUCGUAUGGUUUAACAUUGACCUUUCAGGUGGAGAGAAUAUUAGCUCUCGCCCGUAUCGGCAUUUUCUCAGCCGCUAACGUAUAUGUAGAGGGGGAUCCAUCGGAUCCCCUACCAAGAUGUUUGGCCCCUGAUCAAGCUAGAGCUUCGCGGGAAAAAGAACGAGCGUGCUGCCCAUAACGAAAGAAAGCAAUGAUGCCUAGUUUUAAGUUCAUUGGUUGACCUUCCAGGUGCCAGGUCAGUGACACAAAGGUCAGGAAAAACAGGACCUGCUAGGACUUCAUACAAAAAGUAAUGCUGUUAUGGGGUUUUCCUGGUACUGAUUUUGUAUUUCAUUUUAUUUCAAGUUUUGAUCAAAGCUAGUGUCUCCUUUGUCUCCUAACAAUUCAUCUAUCGCCAAAAUAUUGAACCCGAUUUCAAUGCUCCCGUACAAAUGCACUAUGAACAUAUCUUGCUUUUGCAAAAUUGAGGUUGAGCUUCUAUUUAAGGCGUGUGCGUUAAGUAAUUUGUGCUGUCUGGUGAAAAUUGUUGUCACCUAUAACGACGUACCUGUGACAAAAUUAAAACCGAAGAUAGUAGCUUUUUAAUGGCGGUUUUAAACUGAAUUAGUCGAACAUAAAACAUGUGUGGGCAUACCAUUUGAUUCAAGGUCUUAAAAUGUUGCACAAAUUGCUUUCAUAGUGAUAUUAUACGGGCAUUAUGGAAACAUGAUGAAGUUAUGUGUUUAGCGAUUCAAACUCAACGGUUUUCACAUGAUGUCAAGCUCGACAGUGAAGAAUGCUGUAAUACCUGAAGAGUCGGAUACAUCUAAAACUGCCACAGAAAGCAGUGAAGCAAACAUCAGACGCUUUUGCAACUACAUUCUCAAGAAGAUACCUCGCACCAUGGCAAUUAUGGCGUGCUUCGUUGGUUGUUGUUACUUCCUAAUCGUUUCGGCGAAUCGCCUUGAUUCUGAUGUGAUAUUACAAGAAUUCAAGGCGACCAGUUCAGUGAGCAAGGAAAACUUGCAAAUAACAGUUUGCCCAGUAGCACCGUUUGACCCGAUUCAAACAUUGGACUUCAAAGCUCACACGAAAAGAGCGAAUUAUCUAAGAAAACUUGAUACCACUUCGCUCAACUCACAUGACUUUUCCAAGAAUUAUAUCAGAGCAAUGAAGUGUUUGUACGCUAGCAAAUACUCACACGAAGAUGAGCCUGUAGAAGAAAAGAUACAUUCGCUGGCACUACAUACAGAAUGCAUGACCUUCGCAGGGAAGCUUUUCACAUCCGAUUAUCCCAACGAUCUUCUAGAAGUCUAUACCUGGUUUAGAACUUUUCUCUCACUAAAAAUGCUUGAGCUUGACAGAGAAGGUGAUGUCGAUUCUUACGAUGAAAUUUACAAGAACAUUGAUAUUUUGAAGCAAGACAACUCCACGCUGUCGCAAUAUCUAAAAGAUGUAUCCCGAGAUAUGGAAGAAUUUUUUACAAGUGACUUUACUUCUGUUGACAACAUUAACCUGAAUAAGCCCGCCCAAAAAGUUAUCGUGAACAAUGCAUUUAUAACACGUUUUGGAAUGAAAUGCACCAGUUACACCCUAGCAGACAGCGAAAAAGGAAAAAAGUUGAACCAGAGAUAUCAGCUUCAGAUGACUUUUAACAGGGUGGAAUUUUCCUACCUGCUGGUGUUUGUGAACGAAAAUCGCACAUUCAGCGACAUCCCCGGUGCAACAUUGAUUCAGCCAUACCGAAUCCCACUGGACACUACCAGCAUACUCCACAUUCGAAGAAUCGAGAAAACCAUUAAGAAUGAGCGGUUAGAAAACUGCAAGAGCUACGACAGGAGCACCUCGCCUGGUUCCCAUGUCGAAUGCAUGGAAGCAUGCAUCCUUAAGAAGGUGGUUACCCAUCAAAACCUCACUUGUCUGAUGCCGUGGAUGGACCGAAACUCUACACGUGGUUUGAUCAAUAAACCAUUUUGCAACACAUCCGAAGAAUUUCUCAGAAGCCGUGAUGCAGUGCAGAGUGUUUUUCAAGGAAAUACCAGCGAUUGCAACAUCGAAUGUACAGAAGGCUGCGAGAAGCUGAAUAUCCUGGUGAAGAUUAUGGGUAUUGUCAAACCGGCCAUCUUCAGCAACGAACAACGCCAUAACUUGAUCUUUAUCGUGUCCAAUGAAAUGGAUGAAUUCAGAAAUAGACCAGCAUACGGCUGGGGUGACUUCAUCUCAGAGGUGUUUGGGUCACUCAGUUUCAUUCUUGGUAUUGCCUUUGUAGCCCUGAUUGACUGGGUAUUUGCAGCACUGCUAUGGCUCUGUGGGAAACUCCCCUACAUCCCAGCAAUGCCGCCUAUCCUAAACUCGGACAUUUACAUCCGUGACAUCUACUUUAUAGUCAGACACGAGCUGUAUGGUGAACCGAUUCCAAUGACCAUAUCACAGACGUACUUGAAAAAGCAUGAGCAUAGGAGGGAUGCGUUCCAAGCUGCCCCGUCUACGACAGAGAAAACGGACAGUGACCACCGGCGUCCUCGCCCUCAGUUCCCUCGAAUGCAUCAAAGGAAGUCUAGUCUGGCUCUAAUGUCGGAGGCUAUUGCCGCAGUGUCGCAUCAACACGAGGAAGCAGUAUUGAUGCAGCAGUUCAAGAGUUUGUCCGAAGUUAUUCGACGUGGAAGUUCUGUCGCAGAUAGGGACUUGCAAAAGCGCUCAUCCUUCCCUCCCGGCGGCCGGUCUCAACAAACCAGCCCAUCAGUGCGCCAUCCGUCUGGAGCGACCGCAUCAAGUUCUCAUGGCAUGCCAACGAAGUGGUCGGAACCAAAAAUAACGAUAAGCGCACCUGAUGAAGACGAUUAUAGGGAAAGGUCACAAACGCCGUCACCCAAAAGCGAACCAGAUGAAGCUGAGCAUGAAAGUCAACCGGAAACUCAAGGCGCCCCGGGACAAGAGGCCAUCGACACUGGUCAACCGCCGCUGACGCCGGCUAAGAGCGGGCUGCCGGGCAUAGACCAGCAGCGUCGGCCGUCGCGAGCCGCCUCCGUGCUGCGAGACCUCGACGCUGCCGAGGCGAGCCCUUCAACGGCCGAAGGAGCGGCUGCACCGCAGCUCCCGGCCCAGGGACAGAGACGUGCCUCCUUAUAUCGCACUAAACCGCGGCGAAAAUCGCACGCGGUCGCGCCGGCUCCGGCCCCCGCGAUCGCAGAAUCGAGCGAAGGCGAAGAGCCGCCGGACUGAGCUUUAAUGCACUAAUUUGGUUAUCUAGGUUUUUACAUUGUAUUGCCUGUGUUGCCGUGACGACUGGAAGCCAUGGCUGAACCGAGUCAUUUGGGUGGCCCUAAUUCGUGCCCCGCCAAUGACUUGUGUAGCAUUGACCGUUUUGUCUUUUAUUGAACCCUGAUGUCUUACGCUACUAAUGUCCAGCAAGCACGGAGACUGAUGCGUUCGCUUAUGUCACAAGGUCCGCGUGCAUGUGGAAUGUCCUUUGCUGUGUGCUGCUCACAAAGAGACCAACUGACUAGUU